RNAcentral lists this ribosomal RNA (403 nucleotides) under uncultured bacterium. RNAcentral describes it as "bacterial SSU rRNA". It matches the Rfam family "Bacterial small subunit ribosomal RNA", at positions 355 to 775 of the family's 1533-position model. The record is from RNAcentral.
UAGGGAAUAUUAGUAAUAGGCGAAAGCCUGAACUAGCAACGCCGCGUGUGCGAAGAAGGCCUUCGGGUUGUAAAGCACUUUUUGAGAGGAUGAGGAAGGACGGUACUCUCAGAAUAAGUCUCGGCUAACUACGUGCCAGCAGCCGCGGUAACACGUAGGAGGCGAACGUUAUCCGGAUUUACUGGGCGUAAAGCGCGUGUAGGUGGUUUGGUAAGUAGGGCGUGAGAGCUCCUGGCUCAACUGGGAGAGGCCGUGCUAAACUGCCGAACUAGAGGAUGGUAGGGGGAGGUGGAAUUCCGGGUGUAGCGGUGGAAUGCGCAGAUAUCCGGAGGAACACCAGUGGCGAAAGCGGCCUCCUGGACCAUUCCUGACACUCAGACGCGAAAGCUAGGGUAGCAAACGG